This 468-nucleotide ribosomal RNA is filed under the name uncultured bacterium. RNAcentral's name for it is "partial 16S ribosomal RNA". It matches the Rfam family "Bacterial small subunit ribosomal RNA", at positions 28 to 507 of the family's 1533-position model. The record is from RNAcentral.
GACGAACGCUGGCGGCGUGCUUAACACAUGCAAGUCGAACGGAAAGGCCCUGCUUUUGUGGGGUGCUCGAGUGGCGAACGGGUGAGUAACACGUGAGUAACCUGCCCUUGACUUUGGGAUAACUUCAGGAAACUGGGGCUAAUACCGGAUAGGAGCUCCUGCUGCAUGGUGGGGGUUGGAAAGUUUCGGCGGUUGGGGAUGGACUCGCGGCUUAUCAGCUUGUUGGUGGGGUAGUGGCUUACCAAGGCUUUGACGGGUAGCCGGCCUGAGAGGGUGACCGGCCACAAUGGGACUGAGAUACGGCCCAGACUGCUACGGGAGGCAGCAGUGGAGAAUAUUGCACAAUGGGCGGAAGCCUGAUGCAGCAACGCCGCGUGCGGGAUGACGGCCUUCGGGUUGUAAACCGCUUUCGCCUGUGACGAAGCGUGAGUGACGGUAAUGGGUAAAGAAGCACCGGCUAACUACGUG